AAACUCAAAUGAAUUGACGGGGACCCGCACAAGCGGUGGAGCAUGUGGUUUAAUUCGACGAUACGCGAAGAACCUUACCUGGCCUUGACAUACUAAAAAGCUUUAAGAGAUUAGAGUGUGCUAGCUUGCUAGAAUUUAGAUACAGGUGCUGCACGGCUGUCGUCAGCUCGUGUCGUGAGAUGUUGGGUUAAGUCCCGCAACGAGCGCAACCCUCGUGUUUAGUUGCUAACAGUUCGGCUGAGAACUCUAAACAGACUGCCUACGCAAGUAGGAGGAAGGUGAGGACGACGUCAAGUCAUCAUGGCCCUUACGGCCAGGGCUACACACGUGCUACAAUGGGGUAUACAAAGAGCAGCGAUACGGUGACGUGGAGCAAAUCUAGAAAAUGCCUCCCAGUUCGGAUUGUAGUCUGCAACUCGACUACAUGAAGUUGGAAUCGCUAGUAAUCGUAGAUCAGCAAUGCUACGGUGAAUACGUUCCCGGGUCUU
RNAcentral lists this ribosomal RNA (488 nucleotides) under uncultured Arcobacter sp. RNAcentral's name for it is "bacterial SSU rRNA". It matches the Rfam family "Bacterial small subunit ribosomal RNA", at positions 897 to 1382 of the family's 1533-position model. The record is from RNAcentral. Lineage: Bacteria; Pseudomonadati; Campylobacterota; Epsilonproteobacteria; Campylobacterales; Arcobacteraceae.